Molecule: long non-coding RNA, 891 nt
Filed under: Anser brachyrhynchus (Pink-footed goose)
Lineage: Eukaryota; Metazoa; Chordata; Aves; Anseriformes; Anatidae
Description: lncRNA (ENSABRG00000021220.1)
Source: RNAcentral
AAGGUGCAUCAGGGCUUGUGCUUCGGUAAAUGAUGAUCUAUAUGCACUAAGUUACUAUUUCAGUCUUUAGGUCUGCCAAGCCAGGGACGUCCUGGGAAUAUGUUCUCACUAAAUAAUGGGCUCCUUCCUGCCCAGAGCGGUGCUGCUCACCUGGCUUCUCUCGAGGCUCUGAAAGCUCCUGCCGCUCCUGCUGGGCGAGGAGCUCCUCCACCUUCUUCUCCUCGGUGCCCUUGGGCCAGUCACCUCAGCUGAACCUCGCCGUGGGGCAGCAGAGCCUGGUGGCAGUCGGGGCAGCCGGUCCUGCCAGCUGGGGAUGCCCACGUCCCCGCGCCUGGAGCACCGUCCUGCAACAGCAGCACCUGGAUGGGGCAUGGGGCCAAGCAGCUUCGAAGUGUGGGAGCUUCGAGGGACCCCAUCCUGCCUGGCGGCUGGGUGCAAGAGACCGUGAAGUUAUUGCAUCUUUACCAAAAGCUUGCAACUCCUGCAUGCUGGCAGGCAGAGGAGGACUCACUCCAGAACCAGCAGUAUGGCACUCACCCUGGGAUUUGCCAUGGUGAGGACUGCUCAAAGCCUCACAGCUACCUGAUACAUCCCAUAAUAUCUCACCCCUUUACUGGGAAGCGAUGGCUCUCUUCCAGGGAUUAGGUCAUUUGUGUCCAUUGCGACACUUGGUCUACCGAGGGGAUCAGAGCGCAGCAGGCACUUGGAGCACCAGGGCAUCAGCCGUUCCUCUUCCCCUUGCUGCUUUUCAGCUCCUGCCUGGCAGCAAUUCCUUCAGUGUCUUCCCAUGGAAUUGCUAUUUGCCUUUCCCAUCCUUUUCAGCAACUCUCUCGAUGUAGGUAAAAUUAAUCAGGGAUAAGGAUCAAAUGCUUCGUCACUUAAAUCGCAAAG